RNAcentral lists this transfer RNA (84 nucleotides) under Minisyncoccota bacterium. Its description in RNAcentral is "tRNA-Leu". It matches the Rfam family "tRNA". Rfam says of the family: Transfer RNA (tRNA) molecules are approximately 80 nucleotides in length. Their secondary structure includes four short double-helical elements and three loops (D, anti-codon, and T loops). Lineage: Bacteria; Bacillati; Minisyncoccota. The record is from RNAcentral.
GCCCAAGUGGCGGAAUUGGUUUACGCGCACGACUCAAAAUCGUGUGGUCGCAAGACCGUGUGGGUUCGAGUCCCACCUUGGGCA